RNAcentral lists this small nuclear RNA (103 nucleotides) under Mustela putorius furo (domestic ferret). Lineage: Eukaryota; Metazoa; Chordata; Mammalia; Carnivora; Mustelidae. The record is from RNAcentral.
GUGCUUGCUUUUACAGAAUAUAUACUAAAAUUGGAUAGAUACAGAGAUUAGUAUGGCCCCUGUACAAGGAUGAAUACAAAUUUAGCAAACAUUCCAUAUUUAA